ACCUUCUUCUGCAGUAUGCAGUGGAAGAUGAAGAUGAACAUGCCCUGCAGGGAGUUGAAGAUGGUGAAGAGGUAGGCCAUGAUGACGGUGCUCUCGUUGAUGUACAUCAGGCCGAAGGCCCAGGUCAGGCCCAGCAGACACAGCAGGGCUAUGGCCCCGAUCACCCAGGACCUGGAGGAGGAGACGCUUCAGUGUCCAACAAUACAGAAGCACUUUGUAACACGAGUCUUUUCUCUUUUUACUGUCCUGGAUCAGAAAAGCUGCUCAGCACGUGGGAUCACGAGGCGGGAGAAAGCGGGUUUGCCAGAGAUAAUUUGUGGUGCCAACACCGCGUGAGUGGAAGGGGGGAAAAACAGCGGGAGGUUUUUCUCUAAAAUAAUUCAAACUAACAAGAAAAAAGGGUGAAAUAAAAGACAGAAAGCGCACUGAUUUGAGAGAAAGAGGCCGGAUGACGUCAGCGCAGAGAACGCACGUCGCGCGGGACACCCUCCAAGUUACUGCGACCUCCGGCCCCUCGCAGGGUUGAAAGACGCUUUCGCAGACCAAAGUGGGUGCUGGAGUCUGUUAAUGCAACGGUGACCAACACUUUAAUGGAACGGACUUUAAUACGAGUUUUCAAGGCCGCAAACCUGCGUUUCUAACAAAGCCGAAUAUGCAGGAGUCAUUAGGGCCAAAUGUCAGAGGGAUGUGGUCGUGUUGAGGCAUGUGUAUGAAUCGUAAGUCCCUGUCUGAGCGUGUGCGUGUGCAUGUGUGUGCGUGUGCCUGUGGUCUCCACUGGGCAGUAAGUAGAGGGCCAUUACAGCCAUUACAAAUGACAUUUCCCACUAAAGGUCACCGUUUUCUGGUCUGCCGAGGCCGCGAUGAUGGCUGUUAAUUUGAUUGGCUGACUGGACAGCGAUCACCUCUCGUGGAGGAGAGGGAGGCGCAGCGAGGGAGGAGGGAGGAGGGGGGAGGAGAGGGAGGCGCAGCGAGGGAGGAGGGAGGAGGGGGGAGGAGAGGGAGGCGCAGCGAGGGAGGAGCAGGGGGGAGGAGGGGGGAGGAGUGGGAGGCGCAGCGAGGGAGGAGGGCGGGGGGGUGUUGGUGGGGCGAGGUUGAGGUAUUAGAAGAGUUAGCAGGAAGGAAGAGAGAGAGGAGAGUAAGUGAGGUGAUUGAUUGGAUGUCGCCCUCUGUGGCACCGCUCAGGCGAGACAGAACCUCCAAUAAAGCUCGUCUGACGACCCUCUUCGAUAAAGGGUACACUCAUCCCGCCCCCCCACACCGAGCAGCGUCGUCUCUCCCGGCUUCCGACCUUGCGUCCUCACGUCGCGCCGGUGUAAUAUUUCAAUAGAGCAUCGGGGGGUUUACGGGUCAGACGGGGCUCACAAAUCACACGUCAACACGUAAUCCACUUCACGAGGCAGGUUAACGGUUAAUUUAGGGAUAUGCACGGACUCUGGGAAGAUUCUACGGGCAAACACCAGGACAAGCGAAGCCGAAACGUCCCGGAGGAGACGGAGGACAUGGUGAUUGGGGAGAGACCUUACCGCAGCCCAACAAAGACAACUCAUGGUGGCUUCACGGGGGAAACAAAAGAAAGAAAGACAGAAAAUAAUAAGAGAAAAAUGGACGCAAUGAUGAUGAUGAUUAAUACAAAAAUGAACCACAUAAGACAAGACUAAUGGAGUAAAGUAGAUUCAAAUCUAUUCAGCCUUUUUUUUGCGCUCAAAAAGAAAAACGUAAGCCAUUAAACCGCGAAGAAGUGAAAUGCGUCAUGAUCUGAUUCUUUGAUUUUCCGUCUUUCAUCAGGGCCUUUUUGAUUGAGGCCCCCUGAACUCGCACGGAAGCGAAGAUCAAAUGGUUUUAACAAACUUACUUUCCACUUGGAGGCCCGACUCAAAAGUGCCGUCUUGAAAUAUACAUUGGCAGUGAUAUUUAAAAGAUGAAUCAAACGGUACGCCGCUCCGUGAUUUGCAUGACAAAUACCGAGCUGUGCCUCGGUCGGGCGUCCGGCUAAAGGCCGGCACGCCGUUUGAAUUAGACGGGGCCUGGAACAAGACAUAACACAGUCCUGAUUGGUUAGCUUAGCAGACACAGUUCGGGGGAAAUGAAGUCAUGUUCCAUGACUGGGAAUAAUAACGUGAUCGAUACGAUGAGGAGCAUCGUGAAGUGAUGGAAGAGUCUGCUUCAUGUUGCAGCUGACAUACCAUGAGAAGAAAGGACAACGUUUAAAGGAGUAGCACGACGCUUGGGAGAAGCUCUGCCUUGCGUCCGUGCUGAGGUUUGAUGAGAGGAUGGAUUAGCAUGAAGACUGGAAACAGCUGUUCCAGUUGUGAUUAAAGUUAACACGAUCUAAAGCUCACUAAUAACAUGUUCUAUCUUUGGCUCAAAAUCUGAAGUGUAAAAACAAUAAUUUGCUAUUUUACAUUUUGUUUUCUCUCUCAGGGCAAACCAUCUGUCACACAUCCACUGCUUCUCUUUUUCCAAAUAUUUGGUUACUGUGCAGAUAAAGGAGUCGAUGAGAAAAUGACCGUCGCUAGAAGUGUUGUGCAUGUUCUCAUCUUUCAACUUACUGCGUGUUUCCACCUCAUGAAAGCUUUGUGGCGUCUAACUUGCCCCCCCCCCUUUUUCUUCACUGCUUUCAUCAAACAAGAUGGCAACGUGCAACCAAUGGGUGACUGCUUUUAUAAAGUGAUUGAUUCUGACCAGUUUGGCUGGCUGUUUUUAAACUCGUGCAGUGUCUAUUAGCCAACACGCUGCUCGCUCUCCACCUGCGUAUUCAACAAAAAGGCAUUUGAUUCCUCUCUCUCUUCUCAUUUAAGUCUCGGCAAGAAAGCAUAGAAAAAGUUUCCCAAAAGCGAAUUAUUCCCUGAAUUUCCACAUACACACAAUUGUGUAUAAUCAGAACUGCACGCACACAGCACGUGGACUUACUUGAUGUUGUCCAGACAUCCAGAGUCUGGUUUGAGAAUGGCCGUGUGAUGGAACAUCUUAUAGAGAGCGAUGCCGAGGAAGAUUACAUUCAGCUGAAACGCACAUGCACACAAGUUAAUACUGCAGCAACACGCCUAAUUAAAGACACAC
This is a long non-coding RNA of Gasterosteus aculeatus aculeatus (three-spined stickleback), 3060 nucleotides long. NCBI's taxonomy places the organism in Eukaryota, Metazoa, Chordata, Actinopteri, Perciformes, Gasterosteidae. The record is from Ensembl.